This 497-nucleotide ribosomal RNA is filed under the name uncultured bacterium. Its description in RNAcentral is "partial 16S ribosomal RNA". It matches the Rfam family "Bacterial small subunit ribosomal RNA", at positions 28 to 507 of the family's 1533-position model. The record is from RNAcentral.
GACGAACGCUGGCGGCGUGCCUAAUACAUGCAAGUUGAGCGCUGAAGGUUGGUCCUUGUACCAACUGGCUGAGCAGCGAACGGGUGAGUAACGCGUGGGGAAUCUGCCUUUGAGCGGGGGACAACAUUUGGAAACGAAUGCUAAUACCGCAUAAAAACUUUAAACACAAGUUUUAAGUUUGAAAGAUGCAAUUGCAUCACUCAAAGAUGAUCCCGCGUUGUAUUAGCUAGUUGGUGAGGUAAAGGCUCACCAAGGCGAUGAUACAUAGCCGACCUGAGAGGGUGAUCGGCCACAUUGGGACUGAGACACGGCCCAAACUCCUACGGGAGGCAGCAGUAGGGAAUCUUCGGCAAUGGACGAAAGUCUGACCGAGCAACGCCGCGUGAGUGAAGAAGGUUUUCGGAUCGUAAAACUCUGUUGGUAGAGAAGAACGUUGGUGAGAGUGGAAAGCUCAUCAAGUGACGGUAACUACCCAGAAAGGGACGGCUAACUACGUG